Long non-coding RNA from Oncorhynchus tshawytscha (Chinook salmon), 1318 nucleotides. NCBI's taxonomy places the organism in Eukaryota, Metazoa, Chordata, Actinopteri, Salmoniformes, Salmonidae. The record is from Ensembl.
CUUAGUUCCACAACAACCAGUCCCUCUUAGUUCCACAACAACCAGUCCCUCUUAGUUCCACAACAACCAGUCCCUCUUCACUCCACAACAACCAGUCCCUCUUAGUUCCACAGCAACCAGUCCCUCUUAGUUCCACAACAACCAGUCCCUCUUAGUUUCACAGCAACCAGUCCCUGUUAGCUAAGACAGUACGUUCCCAAUAAAAACAUAAUUCCACCUUGACAUUAUGGGGUAGAUCAGUGACAAAACAAUCUUCCUUUCAAUCCAUUUCAAAUUCAGGCUGUAAACACAACAAACAUUAGGAUAAAGUCAACGGGUGUGAAGGCUCAAAGUAAACAAAACAUUAUGAACACCUGCUCUUUCCAUGACAGACUGACCAGGUGAAUCCAGGUGAAAGCUGUCAUCCCUUAUUGAUGUCACCUGUUAAAUCCACUUCAAUCAGUGUAGAUGAAUGGGAGGAGACGGGAUAAAGGAAGGAUUUUUAAGCCUUGAGACAUGGAUUGUGUCUGUGUGUCAUUCAGAGGGUGAAUGGGCAAGACAAAAUAUUUAAGUGCCUUUGAACGGGGUAUGGUAGUAGGAGGUGCCUUUGAACAGGGUAUGGUAGUAGGUGCCUUUGAACAGGGUGUGGUAGUAGGUGCCUUUGAAUGGGGGUAUGGUAGUAGGUGCCUUUGAACAGGGUGUGGUAGUAGGUGCCUUUGAACAGGGUGUGGUAGUAGGUGCCAGGCACACUGGUUGUGUCAAGAACUGCAACGCUGCUGAGUUUUUCACACUCAACAGUUUCCCGUGUGUAUCAAGAAUUGUCAACCACCUAGAGAAGUUCCAGCCAACUUGACGCAAUUGUGGAAAGCAUUGGAGUCAACAUGGGCCAGCAUCCCUGUGGAACGCUUUCAACACCUUGUAGAGGGGGGUGGAGCAACUCAAUAUUAGGAAGCUGUUCUUAAUGUUUUGUUCACUCAAUGUAGAUUGUACAGUAUAGUACAUUCCCUGAACAAAAGCAGGAUCUAGAUUAUACAGCUCUAUCUGAACAGAUGCUGGCAAACCUAAAGAGUCAUUCCAUUUGAUUCUUGAUGACAGUCCAUGAUGCUGCUAAACCUAAAGAGUCAUUCCAUUUGAUUCUUGAUGACAGUCCAUGAUGCUGCUAAACCUAAAGAGUCAUUCCAUUUGAUUCUUGAUGACAGUCCAUGAUGCUGCUAAACCUAAAGAGUCACUCCAUUUGAUUCUCGAUGACAGUCCCUGAUGCUGCUAAACCUAAAGAGUCACUCCAUUUGAUUCUUGAUGACAGUCCCUGAUGCUGCUAAACCUAAAGAGUCACUCCAUU